This 206-nucleotide unclassified non-coding RNA is filed under the name uncultured Tricholomataceae. RNAcentral's name for it is "sequence contains ITS2". The record is from RNAcentral. Lineage: Eukaryota; Fungi; Basidiomycota; Agaricomycetes; Agaricales; Tricholomataceae.
AAUUCUCAAACCUUCAUCGGUUCUUGCGACUUUUGAAGGCUUUGGAUGUGGGAGUUGCUGGUUUUUCGCAAAGUCAGCUCUUCUUAAAUGCAUUAGUGGUUACUGUUCUCCACUUCGACGUGAUAGUUAUCUACGUCUAUGGGUGGAGAUGUUAAGUGUAGCUGCUCUCUAACCGUCUAAGAUUAAUUCUGGACAACUUUUGAACC